Molecule: ribosomal RNA, 548 nt
Filed under: Enterobacter sp. P8
Lineage: Bacteria; Pseudomonadati; Pseudomonadota; Gammaproteobacteria; Enterobacterales; Enterobacteriaceae
Description: bacterial SSU rRNA
Rfam family: Bacterial small subunit ribosomal RNA
Source: RNAcentral
UGCAGUCGAGCGGUAGCACAGAGAGCUUGCUCUCGGGUGACGAGCGGCGGACGGGUGAGUAAUGUCUGGGAAACUGCCUGAUGGAGGGGGAUAACUACUGGAAACGGUAGCUAAUACCGCAUAACGUCGCAAGACCAAAGUGGGGGACCUUCGGGCCUCAUGCCAUCAGAUGUGCCCAGAUGGGAUUAGCUAGUAGGUGGGGUAAUGGCUCACCUAGGCGACGAUCCCUAGCUGGUCUGAGAGGAUGACCAGCCACACUGGAACUGAGACACGGUCCAGACUCAUACGGGAGGCAGCAGUGGGGAAUAUUGCACAAUGGGCGCAAGCCUGAUGCAGCCAUGCCGCGUGUAUGAAGAAGGCCUUCGGGUUGUAAAGUACUUUCAGCGAGGAGGAAGGCAUUAAGGUUAAUAACCUUGGUGAUUGACGUUACUCGCAGAAGAAGCACCGGCUAACUCCGUGCCAGCAGCCGCGGUAAUACGGAGGGUGCAAGCGUUAAUCGGAAUUACUGGGCGUAAAGCGCACGCAGGCGGUCUGUCAAGUCGGAUGUG